This 468-nucleotide ribosomal RNA is filed under the name uncultured bacterium. RNAcentral's name for it is "partial 16S ribosomal RNA". It matches the Rfam family "Bacterial small subunit ribosomal RNA", at positions 28 to 507 of the family's 1533-position model. The record is from RNAcentral.
GAUGAACGCUGGCGGCGUGCUUAACACAUGCAAGUCGAACGGUGAAGGCGGAGCUUGCUCUGCUGGAUCAGUGGCGAACGGGUGAGUAACACGUGAGCAAUCUGCCCCUGACUCUGGGAUAAGCGCUGGAAACGGCGUCUAAUACAGGAUACGAGCUGCGAAGGCAUCUUCAGCAGCUGGAAAGAAUUUCGGUCAGGGAUGAGCUCGCGGCCUAUCAGCUUGUUGGUGAGGUAAUGGCUCACCAAGGCGUCGACGGGUAGCCGGCCUGAGAGGGUGAUCGGCCACACUGGGACUGAGACACGGCCCAGACUCCUACGGGAGGCAGCAGUGGGGAAUAUUGCACAAUGGGCGAAAGCCUGAUGCAGCAACGCCGCGUGAGGGACGACGGCCUUCGGGUUGUAAACCUCUUUUAGCAGGGAAGAAGCGAAAGUGACGGUACCUGCAGAAAAAGCGCCGGCUAACUACGUG